CGAGCGGUAGAGAGAAGCUUGCUUCUCUUGAGAGCGGCGGACGGGUGAGUAAUGCCUAGGAAUCUGCCUGGUAGUGGGGGAUAACGUUCGGAAACGGACGCUAAUACCGCAUACGUCCUACGGGAGAAAGCAGGGGACCUUCGGGCCUUGCGCUAUCAGAUGAGCCUAGGUCGGAUUAGCUAGUUGGUGAGGUAAUGGCUCACCAAGGCGACGAUCCGUAACUGGUCUGAGAGGAUGAUCAGUCACACUGGAACUGAGACACGGUCCAGACUCCUACGGGAGGCAGCAGUGGGGAAUAUUGGACAAUGGGCGAAAGCCUGAUCCAGCCAUGCCGCGUGUGUGAAGAAGGUCUUCGGAUUGUAAAGCACUUUAAGUUGGGAGGAAGGGUUGUAGAUUAAUACUCUGCAAUUUUGACGUUACCGACAGAAUAAGCACCGGCUAACUCUGUGCCAGCAGCCGCGGUAAUACAGAGGGUGCAAGCGUUAAUCGGAAUUACUGGGCGUAAAGCGCGCGUAGGUGGUUUGUUAAGUUGGAUGUGAAAUCCCCGGGCUCAACCUGGGAACUGCAUUCAAAACUGACUGACUAGAGUAUGGUAGAGGGUGGUGGAAUUUCCUGUGUAGCGGUGAAAUGCGUAGAUAUAGGAAGGAACACCAGUGGCGAAGGCGACCACCUGGACUAAUACUGACACUGAGGUGCGAAAGCGUGGGGAGCAAACAGGAUUAGAUACCCUGGUAGUCCACGCCGUAAACGAUGUCAACUAGCCGUUGGAAGCCUUGAGCUUUUAGUGGCGCAGCUAACGCAUUAAGUUGACCGCCUGGGGAGUACGGCCGCAAGGUUAAAACUCAAAUGAAUUGACGGGGG
Molecule: ribosomal RNA, 861 nt
Filed under: Pseudomonas azotoformans
Lineage: Bacteria; Pseudomonadati; Pseudomonadota; Gammaproteobacteria; Pseudomonadales; Pseudomonadaceae
Description: bacterial SSU rRNA
Rfam family: Bacterial small subunit ribosomal RNA
Source: RNAcentral